RNAcentral lists this ribosomal RNA (492 nucleotides) under uncultured bacterium. RNAcentral describes it as "partial 16S ribosomal RNA". It matches the Rfam family "Bacterial small subunit ribosomal RNA", at positions 29 to 507 of the family's 1533-position model. The record is from RNAcentral.
AGUGAACGCUGGCGGUAGGCCUAACACAUGCAAGUCGAACGGCAGCACAGUAAGAGCUUGCUCUUACGGGUGGCGAGUGGCGGACGGGUGAGGAAUACAUCGGAAUCUACUUUUUCGUGGGGGAUAACGUAGGGAAACUUACGCUAAUACCGCAUACGACCUACGGGUGAAAGCAAGGGAUCUUCGGACCUUGCGCGAUUGAAUGAGCCGAUGUCGGAUUAGCUAGUUGGCGGGGUAAAGGCCCACCAAGGCGACGAUCCGUAGCUGGUCUGAGAGGAUGAUAAGCCGCACUGGAACUGGAACACGGUCCAGACUCCUACGGGAGGCAGCAGUGGGGAAUAUUGGACAAUGGGCGCAAGCCUGAUCCAGCCAUACCGCGUGGGUGAAGAAGGCCUUCGGGUUGUAAAGCCCUUUUGUUGGGAAAGAAAAGCAGCAGGUUAAUACCCCGCUGUUCUGACGGUACCCAAAGAAUAAGCACCGGCUAACUUCGUG